UGCCAGCCUCGGCCUCCCAAAGUGCUAGGAUUACAGGCAUGAGCCACCAUGCCCAGCUGAUUCUUCUUAUCAGAAAGGUGUCAAUGUCAUUGUAGUGGAUGAUUUUGGUGCCCCACCCAGAUCCCUUUACUAAGCUGGCCUGCCCAUACCAGCUGCUGUGAGUGUUGAUGGCUAUGGACUCAUAGUUAAUUUAUUUUCUAGAGAAAUGUCCUGUAUUAGUCUGUUUUCACACUGCUGAUAAAGACAUACCCAAGACUGGGUAAUUUAUAAAGAAAAAGAAGUUUAAUGGACUCACAGUUCCACGUGGCUGGGGAGGGCUCAUAAUCAUCUCAGAAAGUGAAAGGCAUGUUUCACAUGGAGGCAGGCAAGAGAAGAGCAUGAGAGCAAAGUGAAAGGGGUUUCCCCUUAUAAAACCAUCAGAUCUCAUGAGACUUAUUCACUACCAUGAGAAUGGUACGCAGUGGGGGAACCGCCCCCAUGAUUCAGUUAUCUCCCAGUGGGUCCCUCCCACAACAUGAGGGAAUUAUGGAGCUAGAAUUCAAGAUGAGAUUUGGGUGGGGACACAGCCAAACCAUAUCAUGCCCUCAGCCAAAGAGAAGCUUGUGAAGUCACACACAUCACUACCUUACCUGGGAGGUUACAUAUGUCACCAUUUCCCACUUCCCUAUGCUGGAGGCAACCCCAUAGCCAAUGACUGACUGAAAUAAAAAGGGGAACAAAAUGCUUACCUUGCCUUAAGGUGGGACCAAUACAGUAGUCCUUAUCUACUGGGAGGAAUACAUUUCAAGACCACCAGUAGAUGCCUGAAACAGCAAAUAGUACAUUUUUUUCCUAUACAUAUGUAUCUAUGAUAAAGUGUAAUUUUUAAAUUGGGCACAGUAAGGCUGGGCUCAGUGGCUCACACUUGUAAUCUCAGCACUUUGGGAGGCUGAGGCGGGCAGAUCACCUGAGGUCAGGAGUUCGAGAGCAGCCUGGCCGAUGUGGUGAAA
This 989-nucleotide long non-coding RNA is filed under the name Homo sapiens (human). Its description in RNAcentral is "HSALNT0376430". Lineage: Eukaryota; Metazoa; Chordata; Mammalia; Primates; Hominidae. The record is from RNAcentral.